This 434-nucleotide ribosomal RNA is filed under the name uncultured Pseudobutyrivibrio sp. Its description in RNAcentral is "bacterial SSU rRNA". It matches the Rfam family "Bacterial small subunit ribosomal RNA", at positions 341 to 792 of the family's 1533-position model. The record is from RNAcentral. Lineage: Bacteria; Bacillati; Bacillota; Clostridia; Lachnospirales; Lachnospiraceae.
ACGGAAGGCAGCAGUGGGGAAUAUUGCACAAUGGGCGAAAGCCUGAUGCAGCGACGCCGCGUGAGCGAAGAAGUAUUUCGGUAUGUAAAGCUCUAUCAGCAGGGAAGAUAAUGACGGUACCUGACUAAGAAGCACCGGCUAAAUACGUGCCAGCAGCCGCGGUAAUACGUAUGGUGCAAGCGUUAUCCGGAUUUACUGGGUGUAGAGGGAGUGUAGGCGGUUUUACAAGUCUGAUGUGAAAGCCCGGGGCUCAACUCCGGUACUGCAUUGGAAACUGUAGAACUAGAGUGUCGGAGGGGUAAGUGGAAUUCCUAGUGUAGCGGUGAAAUGCGUAGAUAUUAGGAGGAACACCAGUGGCGAAGGCGGCUUACUGGACGAUUACUGACGCUGAGGCUCGAAAGCGCGGGGAGCAAACAGGAUUAGAUACCCUGGUA